UACAGAGGUCUCAAGCGUUGUUCGGAUUUAUUGGGCGUAAAGGGUGCGUAGGUGGCGGGGUAAGUCAGGUGUGAAAUUUCGGAGCUCAACUCCGAAACUGCAUUUGAUACUGCCUUGCUUGAGGACUGGAGAGGAGACUGGAAUUCACGGUGUAGCAGUGAAAUGCGUAGAUAUCGUGAGGAAGACCAGUGGCGAAGGCGGGUCUCUGGACAGUUCCUGACACUGAGGCACGAAGGCCAGGGGAGCAAACGGG
Molecule: ribosomal RNA, 253 nt
Filed under: uncultured bacterium
Lineage: Bacteria
Description: partial 16S ribosomal RNA
Rfam family: Bacterial small subunit ribosomal RNA
Source: RNAcentral